Long non-coding RNA from Camellia sinensis, 1800 nucleotides. RefSeq lists it as uncharacterized. Lineage: Eukaryota; Viridiplantae; Streptophyta; Magnoliopsida; Ericales; Theaceae. The record is from RefSeq and is a predicted model, not a curated record.
GUCCAAAAAACUUGAGGCCUAUUCUAAAAUUUUUAAAACUUAAAUAAAGUGAACUAAUUUGAGGCUCAACAAUCUAUUGUUGCUGUUCCUCAUUCAUCCUGUGCGUUGUCUCUUUCUGCCAUCAACUCCGACUCUCCACCGUCCAUCCCAGGCCUUCGUCGGUGGCUGCCCUUCUCACCGCCAGAUCUUUCAAAUAUUCGGUACUCAAUCACAACCUUCUGCAUUUGUUUGGUGAUGACAUUCUUCAGCAUAUUUGAUGUGCCCGUGUCUUGGCCAAUACUCCUUGUCUACUGGGUGCUACUAUUCACUCUUACCAUGAAGCGACAGAUACUACAUAUGAUUAAAAAUACAAAUAUGUUCCAUUCUCCCUCGGGAAACAGGGGUUGUAAAAUUAGCUGGUUUAAUUUGUGUCUGGUACGUUCAUUUUGUUGUUAGCAUCAAAUUGUCAAUUUUGGUAAAUUUCUCUUUUCAGCUGUAUGAUCGGAAGAGGGAACCCUUGACAGAAAGUGCUAGCCUUACUUCCUAGAGAUUGAAACUUCAGGUAGAUUGAACUACUGACGCUAUUCGAUGCAUAGUUCUAAAAAACCGGCCAAUGCGCUAUGUAUCGGAAAAAUAGGGCACGGCGACGGAUACAGGCUGGUAUAUCGCUGAGAUUGAAAAUCGCAGGAGAAUCGGUUGAGUCCCGGUACGUAUCGGUCUGUAACCAUUACACAAGCCGUUACACAAGUCGCGACGGGUCGAUACUCACCGGUUCGGACCGGUAUGAAAAAAAAGCCUAAAAAACCUGUGAAAUGAUUUUUAAAAUUUCACUACCGCGACACCCGAUUCCUUAUACGUACUGAUUGAUACUACCGAUACCGAUAUUCCGCGAUUGAUACCGUUGUUACCCGAUACCGCGAUUUAGAACCUUGAUUCGAUGUCACAUGCAAAGAUUGCCCAAGUGGAAUUGCCCCCAUUUUUUUAUUAUAUUUUUUUAUAGAUAAAUUACAUUAACUUUUCUUACGUUGUGUUUGGUUUGAGAAUUUAGAAAGAGAUUUGAAAAGAGAAAGGAAAAAAAUGUAUGAAACUAUGUGAAAUGUAGGUAUAUUUUAUUUAUAUUUUAUCUACAUUUUUUUUUUCCUUUUCUAAAUUCCUUCCUAAAUCUCCCAACUAAACAUAGCGUUAAGGUUUGGUGAAAAUACUAGUAGCCUUACAAUUUUGACAUAAUUAUAUUAACCUCCAUUUUAGUAAAGAUAAAGAGACCGGAACGAAUGCAAAUAGAGUGAAAUCAUAUAACCUAAAUAAGGAAAAAUAUAUACAUUUCACUGUGAAAUAGAUAACAUCAAUUUUCUAUUUAUAUGAUUAACAAAUUAUCGAUAAAAAUGAGACUAAAUGUUAUGUGAAUAAAAAAUUUAAAACUGUGUUGGUUCAUGGAUUUGGGUAGCCAUUAAAAAAGAGAACGAAGAAUGUUGAAGCAAAUGUGAAUGAAAUAUAAGUUAAUUUUUUUUUUUCAAUUUCUUUUUAUUUUUUCACAUUCCUAUACAAAUCCACCAUACACAAGCCCAAUAUAUACUCAUAUCAAAAUUAUGAGACUUAUAAUAUUUUUUUUUCUAAUUUUAAGGAGGUGAAUAUAAUUUAUUUAUUUUUCAUCAGCAAGUGCUUUGCAUAGCAUUUUUAGUCGGUAAUGCCAGAGAAGUUAGGUUUUAUAAUUGCUGAACAUGUAAAAUUUAAGUUGUAAUGUCGAUUUUGUUUGACCCGACACUUUUUGGGUCAAAUUUGACCUGAUACAAAGCAAAUAAAAAAACUGUAACUUGGGAUUUA